ACGCUCGACACCUACGGGAGGGCAGCAGUGAGGAAUAUUGGUCAAUGGGCGCUAGCCUGAACCAGCCAAGUAGCGUGAAGGAUGAAGGCUCUAUGGGUCGUAAACUUCUUUUAUAUAAGAAUAAAGUGCAGUAUGUAUACUGUUUUGUAUGUAUUAUAUGAAUAAGGAUCGGCUAACUCCGUGCCAGCACGCCGUACGGUAAUCUGAGGCCGGGCGUGGACGAAGGC
Molecule: ribosomal RNA, 227 nt
Filed under: uncultured bacterium
Lineage: Bacteria
Description: partial 16S ribosomal RNA
Rfam family: Bacterial small subunit ribosomal RNA
Source: RNAcentral